AGCCGGUGGGGGCUGAGCCGGGACUCGUCAGCACCGCUGCCCCUCUCAGGCCCGGGAGCCCGCGUACCUGGCAGUCAGUCAGUCUUUCCGCAGCGCCGAGGGCCAUUCAUGCUGCAGAUGUCUGAGUGACAAUUACCUGUAAGGCACAUCAUGCAGGGAGCAGCCACCUCUGGUGACACUUGACAGAUGGCCUCUCAUUUCAUACUCAGCACAGGUGUGAAAGCAUGGAUUAUGACUCCGAGAGGGAAGCAGCAUUUUAAAGUGACAAACCCAAGGUCUAACUGAGAAAUGGCUUGAGAAAGACAUGUUGAAGAGGAAAAAUACGUUAAGGCUUGCCAAUCAGCUGACUGCAGCAGCAGCAGCAGCAGUGAUGCACAGAUCUGAUCUGCGUUGGCAAUAUACUUGUAAUUCGGACAUGCAUCUCCAGGACACCAGCCUUAGCAGGAAGGGGAGCCAGUCAAGGGGAAACAAUUAUGCAAAUUUAAAAUGUAAACUCUCUGGAGCCCCUGCCACAACCUGAUCUCUAUAAGAAUCAUGAUGUUUCCAAGGCAGCACAUGGUUUGGGGAAAUUGGAGAGAAUACUCCCGAUGGAAAGGGAUAACAUCACAGCUGCCACAACAAUGCUAUCCAGUGAGCAAAUGUCGGAUGUUCAGAGGGGCCAAGUCAUCUUGAUUAGAAUCGUGGAGGGCAGCAUCAGAUGGUAGCUGGCUUGUGGUUUACCUGGCCUUUGGUUAGAUAACUGUGCCUGAUCCCUAUGGCCAGGAAGGAAGGUAGGGUCAUGUACUACAAAUUUUGACCUUGUACAUGAGGAAUAUAAAGACAAAUUAGCCACCGCCAGAAUGACUAAAAUUAAAAAGACUGACAAGGAUGGUGAGGAUUUCACACAUUGCUCCAAAUUUCAGACAGUGCUAAUGAAAAUGAAGAUCUGUACAACAAAAGUACAGGCCUACCUCAGAGAUAUUGGAGUGUUCAGUUCCAGACCACGCAAUAAAGUGAAUAUCACAAUGAAGAGCUGAAGAACUCACAUUUGGGCUGAUGGGCCUGGGGUAGGGAUGACCAACAGACCACAUGCUUCUUGUCUCUUCUACUCCCUGAUCCUCUGAUAGACAGGGCUAAGUGAUCAUCCACUCCUCCCACCCUCCAGCCUCCGAGUGGGCCACUUUUCAAGCAUGGAAUUCCAGGAGGUGUUAACACUAUGGACGAGUGGGCAACUGGCUCUUCAGGCUUGGAACCAAGAGGGGGCAGCAGAGAGCAGAGAAGAACUGGUUGGCUUGGGCUGACCCAGACCUAGGAAAACUUCCAAUCUUCUUCUUCCCUCAAAACCGAAUCCUUGUGGACUCACUCCUGAGACUAUUGUCCCCACAAGUGGUGUGGUCCAAGGCCACAGCAAGAAAGGUCUGAGGGAGUUCUUUGGGGUUCAGGUGGAGAAAAGCCUGUGCUGGAUGCCAGGCUGCUCUGAAAACAGAAAGGAAGAUAAUAAUGUUAACAGCAACAGUUACAAUUACCCAGCCCCUGUAGGGUGCCAGGCCCUCUGCCAAGGUGCUUUCUUUUCAUUCUCUCAAAGAUUACUUGAGGUGGGGAAACCCCUAGUUUACAGAUGAGAAAACAGGGUCCCAGAGUGGUUAAACACCUUGCCCAUGAUCACAUGACUAAGGGAGGGUCAAGCCACAUUUUAGAAUCUUGCCUGUCCUGCCCUCUGUGUUAUGGUGCCCUUCCAGGAAGGAGGCAGAAAGGUGCACCUGGAGUUAGAAUAUCCUUGGGGAGUGUCCCGGACCCAAGGGAAGUCAAACGGUCCUUCUGGUACAGACUGCUGUCUCGUGAUGGCCACGGGUCUCCUGACAGAUUUAGCCAAUUCACUGGCUCACAGGUCCAUGCACCAUCCUCAGCAAAGCCGGGGUAAGGUAGCUGGGCUCGAACAGCCCCAGAAAAAGGCAAAAAGAAAGAAAACAGAAACUUGUAUGGAACUUUCAAGUACUCACUGCGGAAGUCAUUGAUUUAUCUGCCUACUGUGAGAGUUACGUCACGUUGGAAGGUCACAUUAGAAUGCCCCUCACCUCCUGCAGCCUCAGCUCCACCCUGGGCUCAGAGAUCAAUCCUGGCCUUAUUUAGGGAAGCACAUCCAAGCAUAUUUGAAACUUUUGGGAUGGACUUGGGGAUACUGGCACCAGGGACAUCUUGCUGUCAGUACUGUCCUGAUUCUGAGAACUCCACUAGUGCCACAUUCCUCAAUCCGAGCCUGGGUCUAGGACUCAGGCUGCUGCCUCACUAAAUGCCUUAUCUUUUGGGUCACUGCAGACCAGGGCCCUGCCUUCUUUAGCCAAUAUCUGUUUCGCUCAUCUGGCAGUAGGACAUCAGUCUACCAAAAGAGUCACAUGUUCAUAUCCCAGCUUAGGUCCAAGUUGUGAGCCAACUUCAUUUCUUAAUGUAAUCAAUCACUUUUUUGGUAUUGCUUUUUUUCUCUAAAAAGUAUGUAUGUUUUCUGAUCCUACGUGUAAUAUUUUCUGGGCCAGUUGCAGUGGCACACACCGGAGCUACUCAAGGAAGCUGAGUUGGGAGGAUCCCUUGAGCCCAGGAGUUUGAGGUUACAGUGAACUAUGAUUGUGUCACUGUACUCCAGCCUAGACAGCUAGCAAGACCCCAUCUCUUAAAAAAAAUUGUUAGAAAAUACAUUAAAGUAUCAAGGAGAAAAAAAUUUCUCCUAUCUUUCUGGAUUCAUUUUUCUCAACUGCACUUAUUACUAUCUAACACCGUCCUUUACUUAGGUUUUCAUUGUUUGUCUCCUUCUCUAGAAUGGGAGCUUGACAAGAUGAGGGAUUUCAUGUUUUGUUCACUGCAAGUUCCUUAAUUCCCAGAACAAUACCUGGCACAUUUACAGAAUGAAUGAAUGAAUUCAUAAUGCCAUGACAUCAGAUAUAAUUUUAUUUAAUAUUAUAGAGGGAGCAUUUUUCAAUGUCAAUAAAAUGUUUUCAAAAGCAUCA
This is a long non-coding RNA of Gorilla gorilla gorilla (western lowland gorilla), 2978 nucleotides long. RefSeq lists it as uncharacterized. The transcript has 8 exons. NCBI's taxonomy places the organism in Eukaryota, Metazoa, Chordata, Mammalia, Primates, Hominidae. The record is from RefSeq and is a predicted model, not a curated record.